GAUGAACGCUAGCUACAGGCUUAACACAUGCAAGUCGAGGGGAAACGACAUCGAAAGCUUGCUUUUGAUGGGCGUCGACCGGCGCACGGGUGAGUAACGCGUAUCCAACCUGCCCACCACUUGGGGAUAACCUUGCGAAAGUAAGACUAAUACCCAAUGACGUCUCUAGAAGACAUCUGAAGGAGAUUAAAGAUUUAUCGGUGAUGGAUGGGGAUGCGUCUGAUUAGCUUAUUGGCGGGGUAACGGCCCACCAAGGCGACGAUCAGUAGGGGUUCUGAGAGGAAGGUCCCACACAUUGGAACUGAGACACGGUCCAAACUCCGACGGGAGGCAGCAGUGAGGAAUAUUGGUCAAUGGGCGAGAGCCUGAACCAGCCAAGUAGCGUGCAGGAUGACGGCCCUAUGGGUUGUAAACUGCUUUUAUAAGGGAAUAAAGUGAGACUCGUGAGACUUUUUGCAUGUACCUUAUGAAUAAGGACCGGCUAAUUCCGUGCCAGCAGCCGCGGUAA
Molecule: ribosomal RNA, 508 nt
Filed under: uncultured bacterium
Lineage: Bacteria
Description: partial 16S ribosomal RNA
Rfam family: Bacterial small subunit ribosomal RNA
Source: RNAcentral